Molecule: ribosomal RNA, 274 nt
Filed under: uncultured bacterium
Lineage: Bacteria
Description: partial 16S ribosomal RNA
Rfam family: Archaeal small subunit ribosomal RNA
Source: RNAcentral
AAACCAGCACCUCAAGUGGUCAGGAGGAUUAUUGGGCCUAAAGCAUCCGUAGCCUGUUCUAUAAGUUUCCGGUUAAAUCCACUAGCUCAACUAGUGGGCUGCCGAAAAUACUGUAGAACUAGGGAGUGAGAGAGGUAGACGGUAUUCGGUAGGAAGGGGUAAAAUCCUUUGAUCUAUUGAGGACCACCUGUGGCGAAGGCGGUCUACCAGAACACGUUCGACGGUGAGGGAUGAAAGCUGGGGGAGCAAACAGGAUUAGAAACCCCGGUAGUCC